Molecule: unclassified non-coding RNA, 1336 nt
Filed under: Hevea brasiliensis (rubber tree)
Lineage: Eukaryota; Viridiplantae; Streptophyta; Magnoliopsida; Malpighiales; Euphorbiaceae
Source: RNAcentral
GGAAUAGCAUGAAUGAAUACAGAUGAGGAUUCUUCUUUUACACAAUAAUAGUGCAACUGCUACUAACUAAUUCUGUUAUUCUAAACUACUCGACUCUUCUAUUGCUUAUUACUAUUUAUCUUCUUUGUCCUAUAUGUGUAACAGGUGCUUAGGAAAAUUAAGCCAUUUUCAAAUCUAGAUUUCAGAAAUUUACUGAAAAGGAACAAACCUACUAGGAAAUCACACAAACAGACACAUGUAUGUCUACUGACUACCACUAGUCACUCUUGGCUGUUACUGGCCACCAGCAACUGCCACUGGUCACUGUUGGCUUUUGUAAUUUUAGCGUAGGUUGUUCUUAUAUUUGAAUAUGGCUACUGGAAAAAGUGCUGAUGUUCCAGUAUAAUUCAUUCCAAUAUCUGCACCACUAAUGCCACUUUCAUGUAAAUUCAAUCCUACUAUCUUUAGCAGCAUGAAACUGCUAUUGCCUUUGUUAUACUGACAAUUUACAACCAUCACCAUUAUGCCACCCUACCACAACAUUGCAUGAAUGUGGGCAAAAUUGUCAAUACUGCAUUGAAACAUAAUAUUUUUUCAUUGGUAUGGAAAUGUUUGCUAGUUGUGAAUUGAUGGUGAGGUCAAUGGCCCUGCAAUUGUUCCACAAUCUUUGAUGAACUUGCAGUAGCGAGCCUAAGGAAUCCACAUAGCUCUCUUACAACACUUGAUAAUGGCCACUCCAUAAUAGCCUAAAUCUUUUUGUUAUCAUCUGCAACUCCUGUGGAAGAUAUAACAUGGGCCAAGUAGUAUAGUUGCUGCUGUCCAAAGAUGAGCUUUGAUUGUUUUAAGUAAAGCGCUGCACUUGAAGCGCAAGGAAAACCAAGCACAUGUGCUGGAGAUGCUCUGUCCAAGAACGACUAAAUCAAAAUAUUGUCAAAAAAUACAAGAACAAAUUUCUUAAGGCAUGGUUGGAAUACCUUGUUCAUGAGUGCUUGGUAGAUGGAGGGGGCAUUUGUUAAUCCAAACGGCAUGACAAGGAAUUCAAAAUGCCCAUAAUGAAUGCAGAAGGCAGUCUUUCCAAUAUCCUGGGGAUACAUCUGAAUCUGAUGGUAUUGUGUCCAAGGGCAAUUAACAGAGAAAUCUGCAAGUGAGGAGCUACUGGGUUGAGGUUUAUUAGUGUUCUGGCCUUUGUUAGUGAGAAAUCUGCAAGGACCAGGUUUAUUGGUGUCCAAGGGCAAACUUUUGUGGAAGAACUAAAAGGGCUUGCUAGAGAGAACCUUUCUCUUGAGUAUUUAGGAGACUUAAUCCUGAAAUGAACUUAGCUGCCCUUUCAUUAAUUUCAACUAGCUUUUAAAUACAA